GGAGCUGUAGCUCAAUGGAUAGAGCAUCCGCCUUCUAAGCGGACGGCUGUGGGUUCGAGCCCCGCCAGCUCCA
Molecule: transfer RNA, 73 nt
Filed under: Roseiflexaceae bacterium
Lineage: Bacteria; Bacillati; Chloroflexota; Chloroflexia; Chloroflexales; Roseiflexaceae
Rfam family: tRNA
About the family: Transfer RNA (tRNA) molecules are approximately 80 nucleotides in length. Their secondary structure includes four short double-helical elements and three loops (D, anti-codon, and T loops). Further hydrogen bonds mediate the characteristic L-shaped molecular structure. tRNAs have two regions of fundamental functional importance: the anti-codon, which is responsible for specific mRNA codon recognition, and the 3' end, to which the tRNAs corresponding amino acid is attached (by aminoacyl-tRNA synthetases). tRNAs cope with the degeneracy of the genetic code in two manners: having more than one tRNA (with a specific anti-codon) for a particular amino acid; and 'wobble' base-pairing, i.e. permitting non-standard base-pairing at the 3rd anti-codon position.
Source: Rfam by way of RNAcentral